Molecule: non-coding RNA, 23 nt
Filed under: Cricetulus griseus (Chinese hamster)
Lineage: Eukaryota; Metazoa; Chordata; Mammalia; Rodentia; Cricetidae
Source: RNAcentral
ACACCGAGAACCAUGAUGAAAAC